This 229-nucleotide ribosomal RNA is filed under the name Prymnesium parvum. RNAcentral describes it as "partial Bacterial large subunit ribosomal RNA". It matches the Rfam family "Bacterial large subunit ribosomal RNA", at positions 1529 to 1756 of the family's 2925-position model. Lineage: Eukaryota; Haptophyta; Prymnesiales; Prymnesiaceae. The record is from RNAcentral.
GUGUUAGGCAAAUCCGGCACUCUUAAGAUUGAGCUGUGAUGGGGAGAGGAAAUUGUUUCCUCGAGUCGUUGAUUUCACACUGCCGAGAAAAGCCUCUAGAUAGAUAACAGGUGCCCGUACCGCAAACCGACACAGGUAGUCAAGAUGAGAAUUCUAAGGUGAGCGAGCGAACUCUCGUUAAGGAACUCGGCAAAAUGACCCCGUAACUUCGGGAGAAGGGGUGCCCCUG